This 424-nucleotide ribosomal RNA is filed under the name uncultured prokaryote. RNAcentral's name for it is "bacterial SSU rRNA". It matches the Rfam family "Bacterial small subunit ribosomal RNA", at positions 355 to 795 of the family's 1533-position model. The record is from RNAcentral.
UAACGAAUCUUCCGCAAUGCGCGAAAGCGUGACGGAGCAAUGCCGCGUGCGGGAUGAAGGCCCUCGGGUUGUAAACCGCUGUCAGGGUACAGGAACACAAUGACCAUACCCAAAGGAAGGACCGGCUAACUUCGUGCCAGCAGCCGCGGUAAUACGAAGGGUCCAAGCGUUAAUCGGAAUCACUGGGCUUAAAGGGUGCGUAGGCGGGCUCGCAAGUGUCUUGUGAAAUCCCACGGCUCAACCGUGGAACUGCUUGGCAUACUGCGAGCCUUGAGGUCGGCAGAGGUCGCCGGAACUCUAGGUGUAGCGGCGAAAUGCGUAGAUAUCUAGAGGAACGCCAAAGGCGAAGGCAGGUGGCUGGGCCGAAUCUGACGCUGAGGCACGAAAGCGUGGGUAGCGAACGGGAUUAGAUACCCCCGUAGUC